CAAUGAGCAGGAUUUGUGCUUUUCUCCCUGGGAUGAACUGAGAGCAGAAAUACCAGGACAGGCCCUGCCCAGGAGGUGUUUUGGCAGAGUCCACUGCUUGGGGAUGUUGUUGGAAAGGGAUAAAUGGUUUUUCACAGAGUAAUUUAGGUUGGAAAAGCCCUCCAAGAUCAAGUCCAACUAUUCCCUCAGCACUCCCCAGUCCAGCACCAGCCCAUGUCUUUGAGUGCCCCAUCCAUUCAGCUUUUAAAUUCUUCCAGGGACAGUGUCUCCACCACUUCCCAUGGAACAGAGGACUCUGGAGUGAGAAAUCACUUCCUACAGGAUGCCAAGAGGUUGCCUGAGCUGCAGGAGAGACUGGACAAAAUCAUGGGCCAGCGCUGAUGGAAGAGCAGGCAAGGACACCAUAGAGCUCCAUGCUGCCUGAAGAAGAGCCUGCCUUGGCCCCAGGGCAAGGGAAGGAGCUUGGUUCUUGCAUUUUCCCACAAGGACAACCUGGGAGAUGAACAAACCUGGUGCUGGACAUGCUCCCUCUGCAAAGCCACCUGCAGUGAGCUGGGAAGUGCUCAGCACACAGAGCCUGUCUUUGGCUCCCAGGGAGUUCAAUUUGACUCUGGGUUAACUGCAGUUCCCUUGCAAAGCUGUCUGUCACCUCUCAGCCUCUUCCUUGCUCACUCGAGAAAAUAACAGCUCCCACACUCUGAAAAAUCCCACAUAAUUGGUACAGCCUCCACAGAGUGCCUCUCAGCCAGCAGCAGGACCAUUUGGAGCUCGAAAGGUGGCCCUGUCUUUUCAGAAGGGUCAUGGGUUGACAACCUUGUUUAUUUUCCUCCGUGUCUGUCCAAGGAAAAAAAACACAAACCAACCAAAAAACACCAGCCCAGCUCCUCCAAGUCGAGCCUGGCAGCACCAAUUUGGGGCACAGCUGGAGGAAGGGGACAGGUUUCCAUCCCACUGAGGCUGUGUAAAAGCCUCAGACUUAGCCUUGACCAUCUGGUGAUCUACCAGUACUCAGCUUUCCUUUUUUUGCCCCACACCUUGGUAGGAUGAAGGAUUCUGACACUGAAGCGCAGAGAUCUGGAAAAUGUGGAGCCAGUUCCAGUCAUGCUGCACAUCCUCGGCCCUUUCCCAACCCCAUUUGAGCACAGAGAGCUGCCACAUCAUCAAUUUGGUGUGGAUUUGGGUAUCCUGAGCACCAAACCCCAUUUGUUUUGCUGUUUCACCCCCUGGCUUGGCCAGGUCCUCAUCAGCAUCUCUCCCUCACACAACAGAUAAAUAGCAAUACCCAGAGCCACACACACACUUACAAAUAAAUAGAAAAGGAGCAUCAAUUCAGCCAUGAAUACAAAGCUUAAGGAUACUGCAUCUCAUUCCUGUUUGCUGCCUCGGGCACUGCAAGCUGACAAUCAAAAUUCACCCAGUGCCAAAAAUAUUAGUUUAGUUGAAUAUUUGUGUUUGCUCAGCUCCUUCUCGUGCCGGGAUGACAAACUGCCCUGAGAAGGCAUUGCCAGAGGCACUCACACUCCCAUUCUCUCUCUCACUGAUUCUGGCACACAGAGGGAUCCUUUCAAACCAAUAAACACUUUCAUUUUUGUCUUGGCUGAAAGGGCUUCCUCUGUGGGGUGAUGUUUUGCUGGAGGAAAUGAUUUAGGAGCAGAGAUACGGUUGUGAUUCAAUAUGGUUGUGAUUCAAUAUCGUGCUCAGGAAUUCCUUGUAAAGUCAAGGGAGAGACAAAUUCUGACAUUACCCGAGCCUCGUUGAGCUUAUCAGAGUAUUUUUGGAGUGAGAAUCCAGCAACAAAGACGGCGACACUUUGUUAUGUGGUGUCUGGUAGCUCUUGUUCUCAGGUGGAACAGCAGCAACACCACCUCUCUCGUGUAAGUUACGUCCUGACACGUGUGAGAACAUGCAGAGGGAAGGGAAGAAGAGAAAAGAAGGAGAGGGAGCUUUUCCAAGCUCUAUGUUGGGGCUGGAUAAAGAGGAUGGAGCUCAGAUCAGCAGCAGUGUCAGAGCUGGUCCCUCCCAGCCUUCCCACCUGGGAUGCACCAACCCUUGACUCAGAAUCACAAGCUGAUCCAGCAGGAGGGAAGUCAGACCAACCAUGAGGGACAGGUUUCCUCUUUGCUUUCCCUCCUCACCACCUUCUCAUUGCUGGAAGGAUGCCCUGAGCUCGUCAGGGAACCAUGGCACAGAUUGGGUUGGAAAGGGCCUUUAAGAUCACCCAGCUCCAGCCCCCUGCUGUGGGCAGGGAACACCUCCUGCCACCCCAGGUUUCUCCUAGCCUGGCUCUGAUGUACACCAGAAACUCAGAUAAAGCACAAAGCCCUACAGAAACACGUCUGUGGGCUGGAGCUCAGCAGUCUGACCCACCUGCCUGGAGGGGAUGGGCUCACAUCCCCCUCCUGUUGCCCUGGGGACACCCCAGUUCCCCCAAAGCCCAGCCUGGGGAGCAGCUCCCUCCCACGGAGAGCAGCCUUCUUUCUGGCCUCAGGAGGUGUUUGUUGAGGAGCUGUAGAGAAGAACAAUGCUGCUGUCUCCUCAUCAAGGUGGGCUGUGGCAAGGCAGAGUCCUGCUUUCACUCCAGCACUACCCUGAAACACAAAGCUUUGUAUUUGCCUGUCAAUAUCCCAGUUGGAUUCUGCUUCUCUGUAUUUAAUUCGAGAUGAGUACUGCAGGACCUCUUUUGUUAGCUGGAUACCUCAUGCACAUUGUUAUUAUUUCUUUCAUAAAAAUCAAUAAAGACUUAAGAACAACAACCACCAAUAAUAACAGUACAUCUCUCUUGGUGUCUUUGUGUUGCAACUUGCUGAAUAACUCGGAAAAGCAGCAGACAACAGUCAGGAGAGAAGAUUAAAAAAGAUGUUGUUCCCAAACUGGACCUGCUCUUCCUUUGGAAAAAGUUUCCAGCCACUUAAAACUGCAGCACCAUCUCAGCACACAAGAAUUCAGCAGCAGAGGCUCCGGGUGGGAAGAAAUGCUCAGAGGAUGAGGCACCAGACAGAGCUCCUCUGAUCUGGUGUCCUGCUUGUCCUGCCUGUG
Molecule: long non-coding RNA, 3036 nt
Organism: Passer domesticus (house sparrow)
Lineage: Eukaryota; Metazoa; Chordata; Aves; Passeriformes; Passeridae
Exons: 3
Source: RefSeq, a predicted model, not a curated record